CAUCGAUGUCGGCCUUGGGCAGGCUCACAUCCACAUCUGGACCUUCUCCUUUGAAGCCAGGCAUGCUGAAUUUGGGCAUUUUCACCUUGGGCAUCUUCAGGUGCCAGUCUGGGCCAUGAACAUCCACAUCAGGGACAUCAAUGUCAGCUUUGGGCAAAUUAACAUCCACUUCUGGGCCCUCUCCUUUAAAUCCUGGCAUGCUGAAUUUGGGCAUUUUCACCUUGGGCAUCUUCAGGUGCCAGUCUGGGCCAUGAACAUCCACAUCUGGGGCAUCAAUGUCCACUUUGGGCCCUCUGAUGUCAACAUCUGGCACUUUCAUUUCACCUUCUACCUUGGGAACAGACACAUCCAUAUCCCCUUUGACUUUGGGGCCUUUCAAAUGUAAGUCCACAUCAGGCAUGGAGAUCUUGGGGA
This 414-nucleotide long non-coding RNA is filed under the name Homo sapiens (human). RNAcentral's name for it is "HSALNT0176051". Lineage: Eukaryota; Metazoa; Chordata; Mammalia; Primates; Hominidae. The record is from RNAcentral.